RNAcentral lists this transfer RNA (67 nucleotides) under unidentified. Its description in RNAcentral is "Oreta sp. tRNA-Asn". The record is from RNAcentral.
UUAAUUGAAACCAAAUUAGAGGUAUAUCACUGUUAAUGAUAUUAUUGAAUUAAAAAUUCCAAUUAAA